Hippocampus comes (tiger tail seahorse) is the source of this 2053-nucleotide long non-coding RNA. RefSeq lists it as uncharacterized. The transcript has 2 exons. NCBI's taxonomy places the organism in Eukaryota, Metazoa, Chordata, Actinopteri, Syngnathiformes, Syngnathidae. The record is from RefSeq and is a predicted model, not a curated record.
UAGUCCUCAUCUAAAUCACAAGAAUAAACAGUCUGCUUAAACUAAUACCACACCAACAAUUAUGUUUUCAUAUUUGUGUCGAAAAUAACAGGGUAAGGAGGAAAAGAUAAGUGAACUCUUGGAUUUAAUAACUGGUCUCGCCUCCUUUGGCAACAACUCGCCCAAAAAUUUGUUGCAGACCAGAUAUGCACAACCAUCAGGAUGAAUUUUGGACCAUUCUUCUUUAUAAGAAAUCUUGUACUCAUGCAAGAUUCCUGGGAUGUCUGCUGUGGGUAACACUCUUGAAGUUAUGCCGCAGCAUCUCAAUCGGGUGCGGGUCAGGACUUUGACUGGACCGCUCAAAAACAUGUCUUUUCUCCUUAUGAAGCCAUUCUGUUGUUGAUUUGUAUUGGAUCAUUCUUCUGAUGCAAUAUCUAUCCUCUUUUGAGCUUCAACUGUUGGCCAGAUGGCCUCGAGUUCUUAGUUCUUGUGAUAAACUUGAUAUUUUUAUUUCAUUGAUGAUAAUGAGCUGUCCAGGCCAUGAGGCAGCAAGCGCACAAAUACCAUGAUGCUUCCUCUACCGCGCUACACAAUUGGGAUAGGGUUGUGAGGUUAUUGUGCUAUGUCAUUUUUUUUCUCCACACAUGACAUUGUGUGUUCCUCACAAUCAAUUCAAGUUUGUUUUCAUUUUGUCCACCGAAUAUUAGGGCAGUGGAACAUCCCAGUGCUCUUUAGCAAACUUCAAAUGUGCAACAAUGUUAUGUUUUUUUUUUGUUUGUUUUUUUUUUUUGUAAAUCAACGGCUUCUUCCUUGGUGUUCUCCCAUGAACUCCAUUCUUGUUUAAUGUUUUACAUAUGGAAGAUUUCUCAACAGAGGUGUUGACAUGUGCCAUUGAUUUCUGUAAGACUUCAGUUGACACUCUGGGGUUCUUUCUGAUCUCAUUGAGCAUUCUGCACUGUGCUCUCGCACAUUUACAGGAGAACGACUCCUUGGAAGAGAAGCAACACUGCAGAAGAUAUAUAUAUAUAUAUAUAUAUAUUUUUUUUAAACACAACUCACCCAAGUUCAUCAAUUACACCCGUAGCAACAUGCUUAACAACUAAAAUGCUUUUGUUCAGCAAUCUCUGGCGAGUGACACAAUUCAAAGAAUCUCGAGUGAGCCAUUGUACUGCAGUAACGUUAUAAAAAUUGGGAAAAUAUACUGACUGUUGUUUUCUCAAGUAAAAACAGAUGUUUUCAAAUGACUUGUUUGGGUUCAACACAAAGAUGUUUCUGCUUUUGUAGAAGACGACACAAAUCAGAAAAUAUUUACUCAUGAGGCUGAAAUUUGAAUGAGUUUGUUUAUUGAACAAAUUAACAGAUAACACAUUUGGGAGGAAGUAAAAGGGAAUUAAAAAAAACUUGUAAGAAGAAAAACAUAAAUGGUCAUAAUUUAGCAAAGUUUGGAAGUAUGGAAGUAAAAAAAAAUGUAUCUAGUGGCACCCCUUGUUCUUUGUGUAUUUUAACUUGUUUGAUAUUAAUAUAAUGCAUGCAGUAUAUCGCAAAAUGAAAAAAGGAAAUAUAUUGAGCUACUCAAGUAUACAACUGCACUUACACUUAUGCGUACUGUACAUACCUGUAUGCCUACAACAUACAGUAUGUACAGGCACUAAGUAAACACACACUGUGACAAAUGUUGGCCAUUUUAUCAAAAUACAUUAAUUGUCAUUUAAUUUGUUUGGUUUGUUUGACUCAUAGUAUUUGGGGCACUGCUUAAUGUGCUUUUAUUUAAUUUUUUUGAUCAUUAAGCUAACAAUUUGAAAAUCUGGAGUGCCUAGCAAAAAUGUUGACCUUGAAACGGUAUUUAUUGAUCCAUAGUUUUUAGGAAAGCUGCUGGACCGGCUGGAUAAUUUACAAUGAACAUUGUCUUUUUCCUUCAAACGACUGCUACUUUAAAAACAGACGGGACAGCAUUAGGUACAAUAACACACAGACAUACUCGACUGUAUAUGCUUAUUGGAAACAGCUGACGACUUCCUUUGUUCUUGCUCUUUUCUGCCAUUCAUUUCCAGACUGUCCUUGACUCGAGUAUAUG